Molecule: long non-coding RNA, 456 nt
Filed under: Salmo salar (Atlantic salmon)
Lineage: Eukaryota; Metazoa; Chordata; Actinopteri; Salmoniformes; Salmonidae
Description: lncRNA (ENSSSAG00000098280.1)
Source: RNAcentral
GUUAGGUUCAUACAAAUAUUUACACAUGUUAAGUUUGCUGAAAAUAAACGCAGUUGACAGUGAGAGGACGUUUCUUUUUUUGCUGAGUUUAGAUGUCCAUAAUGUUAGGUGAUGUGUGUCUGUCUACUAGGUGUCCAUAAUGUUAGGUGAUGUGUGUCUGUCUACUAGGUGUCCAUAACGUUAGGUGAUGUGUGUCUGUCUACUAGGUGUCCAUAACGUUAGGUGAUGUGACUUCCUGUGUGUCUGUCUACUAGGUGUCCAUAACGUUAGGUGAUGUGUGUCUGUCUACUAGGUGUCCAUAAUGUUAGGUGAUGUGUGUCUGUCUACUAGGUACCCAUAACGUUAGGUGAUGUGACUUCCUGUGUGUCUGUUUACUAGGUACCCAUAAUGUUAGGUGAUGUGACUUCCUGUGUGUCUGUCUACUAGGUACCCAUAAUGUUAGGUGAUGUGACUUCC